Molecule: non-coding RNA, 129 nt
Organism: Triticum aestivum (bread wheat)
Lineage: Eukaryota; Viridiplantae; Streptophyta; Magnoliopsida; Poales; Poaceae
Source: Rfam
GGCCUUUGGUCCCGGUUGGUGCCAGCAAGCGGGACUAAAGGGGGCAUUGGUCCCGGUUCGUGGCACAAACCGGGACCAAUGCCCCCCCUUAGUCCCGGUUGGUGCCACCAACCGGGACCAAAGGCCGCC